AUUGAACGCUGGCGGCAUGCCUUACACAUGCAAGUCGAAACGGCAGCACGGGAGCUUGCUCCUGGUGGCGAGUGGCGAACGGGUGAGUAAUAUAUCGGGAACGUACCCUAGAGUGGGGGGAUAACGCAGCGAAAGUUGCGCUAAUACCGCAUACGAUCUAUGGAUGAAAGCGGGGGAUCGCAAGACCUCGCGCGAUUGGAGCGGCCGAUAUCAGAUUAGGUAGUUGGUGAGGUAAAGGCUCACCAAGCCGACGAUCUGUAGCUGGUCUGAGAGGACGACCAGCUACACUGGGACUGAGACACGGCCCAGACUCCUACGGGAGGCAGCAGUGGGAAUUUUGGACAAUGGGCGCAAGCCUGAUCCAGCAAUGCCGCGUGCAGGAUGAAGGCCUUCGGGUUGUAAACUGCUUUUGUACGGAACGAAACGGUGAGCUCUAAUACAGUUUGCUAAUGACGGUACCGUAAGAAUAAGCACCGGCUAACUACGUG
This 488-nucleotide ribosomal RNA is filed under the name uncultured bacterium. Its description in RNAcentral is "bacterial SSU rRNA". It matches the Rfam family "Bacterial small subunit ribosomal RNA", at positions 30 to 507 of the family's 1533-position model. The record is from RNAcentral.